GACGAACGCUGGCGGCGUGCUUAACACAUGCAAGUCGAACGGAAAGGCCCUGCUCUUGUUGGGUGCUCGAUUGGCGAACGGGGGAGUAACACGUGAGUAACCUGCCCUUGACUUUGGGAUAACUUCAGGAAACUGGGGCUAAUACCGGAUAUGAGCUCCUGCUGCAUGGUGGGGGUUGGAAAGAUUCGGCGGUUGGGGAUGGUCUCGCGGCUUAUCAGCUUGUUGGUGGGGUAGUGGCUUACCAAGGCUUUGACGGGUAGCCGGCCUGAGAGGGUGACCGGCCACAUUGGGACUGAGAUACGGCCCAGACUCCUACGGGAGGCAGCAGUGGGGAAUAUUGCACAAUGGGCGGAAGCCUGAUGCAGCAACGCCGCGUGCGGGAUGACGGCCUUCGGGUUGUAAACCGCUUUCGCCUGUGACGAAGCGUGAGUGACGGUAAUGGGUAAAGAAGCACCGGCUAACUACGUG
This 468-nucleotide ribosomal RNA is filed under the name uncultured bacterium. Its description in RNAcentral is "partial 16S ribosomal RNA". It matches the Rfam family "Bacterial small subunit ribosomal RNA", at positions 28 to 507 of the family's 1533-position model. The record is from RNAcentral.